GACGGAGGAUGCAAGCGUUAUCCGGAAUGAUUGGGCGUAAAGCGUCCGCAGGUGGCAGUUCAAGUCUGCUGUCAAAGACCGGGGCUUAACUUCGGAAAGGCAGUGGAAACUGAACAGCUAGAGUAUGGUAGGGGCAGAGGGAAUUCCUGGUGUAGCGGUGAAAUGCGCAGAUAUCAGGAGGAACACCAAUGGCGAAGGCAGCACUCUGGGACGUGACUGACGCUGAGACGCGAAAGCGUGGGGAGCAAACAGGG
This 254-nucleotide ribosomal RNA is filed under the name uncultured bacterium. RNAcentral's name for it is "partial 16S ribosomal RNA". It matches the Rfam family "Bacterial small subunit ribosomal RNA", at positions 524 to 777 of the family's 1533-position model. The record is from RNAcentral.